AUUGAACGCUGGCGGCAGGCCUAACACAUGCAAGUCGAGCGGAUGAAGGGAGCUUGCUCCUGGAUUCAGCGGCGGACGGGUGAGUAAUGCCUAGGAAUCUGCCUGGUAGUGGGGGAUAACGUCCGGAAACGGGCGCUAAUACCGCAUACGUCCUGAGGGAGAAAGUGGGGGAUCUUCGGACCUCACGCUAUCAGAUGAGCCUAGGUCGGAUUAGCUAGUUGGUGGGGUAAAGGCCUACCAAGGCGACGAUCCGUAACUGGUCUGAGAGGAUGAUCAGUCACACUGGAACUGAGACACGGUCCAGACUCCUACGGGAGGCAGCAGUGAGGAAUAUUGGACAAUGGGCGAAAGCCUGAUCCAGCCAUGCCGCGUGUGUGAAGAAGGUCUUCGGAUUGUAAAGCACUUUAAGUUGGGAGGAAGGGCAGUAAGUUAAUACCUUGCUGUUUUGACGUUACCAACAGAAUAAGCACCGGCUAACUUCGUG
Molecule: ribosomal RNA, 484 nt
Filed under: uncultured bacterium
Lineage: Bacteria
Description: partial 16S ribosomal RNA
Rfam family: Bacterial small subunit ribosomal RNA
Source: RNAcentral